GGGGUGGUCGACCAGAUCCCGGACGAGCCCCCAAAUGAAAGGACCCCCAACAGGGAGACCCUCCUCAAGUCACAGGUGACGGCGCAACCCCAAUCAGUCACGGAG
This 105-nucleotide microRNA precursor is filed under the name Procavia capensis (Cape rock hyrax). Lineage: Eukaryota; Metazoa; Chordata; Mammalia; Hyracoidea; Procaviidae. The record is from RNAcentral.